AGAGUUGACAUGGCUCAGAAAGUCGUAGCAAGGUGAACCGUAGACGUUAACGGCGGACGGGUGAGUAACACGUGGGUAACCUACCUAUAAGACUGGGAUAACUUCGGGAAACCGGAGCUAAUACCGGAUAAUAUUUCGAACCGCAUGGUUCGAUAGUGAAAGAUGGUUUUGCUAUCACUUAUAGAUGGACCCGCGCCGUAUUAGCUAGUUGGUAAGGUAACGGCUUACCAAGGCGACGAUACGUAGCCGACCUGAGAGGGUGAUCGGCCACACUGGAACUGAGACACGGUCCAGACUCCUACGGGAGGCAGCAGUAGGGAAUCUUCCGCAAUGGGCGAAAGCCUGACGGAGCAACGCCGCGUGAGUGAUGAAGGUCUUCGGAUCGUAAAACUCUGUUAUUAGGGAAGAACAUACGUGUAAGUAACUAUGCACGUCUUGACGGUACCUAUGUCGGAAAGCCGCU
Molecule: ribosomal RNA, 463 nt
Filed under: Staphylococcus sp.
Lineage: Bacteria; Bacillati; Bacillota; Bacilli; Caryophanales; Staphylococcaceae
Description: bacterial SSU rRNA
Rfam family: Bacterial small subunit ribosomal RNA
Source: RNAcentral